Molecule: small RNA, 499 nt
Filed under: uncultured Glomeromycotina
Lineage: Eukaryota; Fungi; Glomeromycota
Description: SSU rRNA
Rfam family: Eukaryotic small subunit ribosomal RNA
Source: RNAcentral
CCAAUAGCGUAUAUUAAAGUUGUUGCAGUUAAAAAGCUCGUAGUUGAAUUUCGGGAUCAAAUUGUUGGUCGUGCCUCGGUACGCACUGGUAUUAUUGGUUCCUACCUUCUGAAGAACCGCGAUGUCAUUAAUUUGGUGUCGUGGGGAAUCAGGACUGUUACUUUGAAAAAAUUAGAGUGUUUAAAGCAGGCUUACGCUUGAAUACAUUAGCAUGGAAUAAUGAAAUAGGACGUUUGAUUCUAUUUUGUUGGUUUCUAGGAUUGACGUAAUGAUUAAUAGGGAUAGUUGGGGGCAUUAGUAUUCAAUUGUCAGAGGUGAAAUUCUUGGAUUUAUUGAAGACUAACUACUGCGAAAGCAUUUGCCAAGGAUGUUUUCAUUAAUCAAGAACGAAAGUUAGGGGAUCGAAGACGAUCAGAUACCGUCGUAGUCUUAACCAUAAACUAUGCCGACUAGGGAUCGGAUGAUGUUAAUUUUUUAAUGACUCAUUCGGCGCCUUACG